UGGGGAAUAUUGCGCAAUGGGGGCAACCCUGACGCAGCAACGCCGCGUGCAGGAAGAAGGUCUUCGGAUUGUAAACUGUUGUCGCAAGGGAAGAAGACAGUGACGGUACCUUGUGAGAAAGUCACGGCUAACUACGUGCCAGCAGCCGCGGUAAUACGUAGGUGACAAGCGUUGUCCGGAUUUACUGGGUGUAAAGGGCGCGUAGGCGGACUGUCAAGUCAGUCGUGAAAUACCGAAGCUUAACUUCGGGGCUGCGAUUGAAACUGACAGCCUUGAGUAUCGGAGAGGAAAGCGGAAUUCCUAGUGUAGCGGUGAAAUGCGUAGAUAUUAGGAGGAACACCAGUGGCGAAGGCGGCUUUCUGGACGACAACUGACGCCGAGGCGCGAAAGUGUGGGGAGCAAACAGGAUUAGAUACCC
This 418-nucleotide ribosomal RNA is filed under the name uncultured bacterium. Its description in RNAcentral is "bacterial SSU rRNA". It matches the Rfam family "Bacterial small subunit ribosomal RNA", at positions 355 to 787 of the family's 1533-position model. The record is from RNAcentral.